ACCCGGAGGAAGAGAAAUCAAACGAGAUGCCCACAGUAGCGGCGAGCGAAGAGGGCAGAGCCCAAACCGAGAAGCUCCGGCUUUUCGGGGUUGAGGACCGGCAGAAUCGAAGUCAGGCCUAGUUGAAUUACCUGGAAAGGUAAGCGAGAGAGGGUAAAAGCCCCGUAGACGAAAGGCAGAGCAGAGAGGCCGAGAUCCAGAGUACCACGAAGCACGAGGAAUUUUGUGGGAAGCAGGGGGGACCACCCUCCAAGGCUAAAAACUACUUGGCGACCGAUAGCGCAUAGUACCGUGAGGGAAAGGUGAAAAGAACCCCGGGAGGGGAGUGAAAUAGUACCUGAAACCGUAUGUCUACAAGCAGUCGAAGCGAAAGCGACGGCGUGCCUAUUGAAGAAUGAACCAACGAGUUAUCUGCACUAGCGAGGUUAAGUGGAAGACACGGAGCCGCAGCGAAAGCGAGUCUUAAGAGGGCGCUAGUUAGUGUAGGUAGACCCGAAACCGCAGUGAUCUACCCAUGUCCAGGUUGAAGCGCAGGUAAAAUUGCGUGGAGGACCGAACCGGUGAGCGUUGAAAAGCUUUCGGAUGAGAUGUGGGUAGGGGUGAAAUUCCAAUCGAACGCGGAGAUAGCUGGUUCUCCCCGAAAUAGCUUUAGGGCUAGCCUGAGGUAGUAAGUAUAGGCGGUAGAGCACUGAUCGGGCUAGGGGCCGUAAAGGUUACCGAACCCUGUCAAACUCCGAAUGGAUAUACUGUAGAGCCUUGGAGUCAGACUACGAGUGAUAAGAUCCGUGGUCAAAAGGGAAACAGCCCAGACCACCAGCUAAGGUCCCCAAUGUCGUACUAAGUGGAAAAGGAUGUGGGGUUUCAUAAACAACCAGGAUGUUGGCUCAGAAGCAGCCACCAUUUAAAGAGUGCGUAAUAGCUCACUGGUCGAGAGACCCUGCGCCGAAGAUUCCCGGGGCUAAAGUACGAAACCGAAGCUGUGGCUGUAUACGUAAAGUAUACGGGGUAGGGGAGCGUUCCCAUAGGGUAGAAGUCGAACUGGAAGGUUCGGUGGACUUGUGGGAAGUGAGAAUGUUGGUAUGAGUAGCGAAAAGAAAGGUGAGAAUCCUUUCCACCGAAAGCAUAAGGAUUCCUGAGCAACGAUCGUCGUCUCAGGGUAAGUCGGGACCUAAUCCGAGGCAGAGAGCGUAGGAGAUGGACAACUGGUUGAUAUUCCAGUACCGGUAGUAAUUGUUUGAGCAAUGGAGUGACACAGAAGGGCAGGCAAGCAUGCGAAUGGAAGAGCAUGUGUAAGCGUGUAGGGUGGUGCAUAGGCAAAUCCGUGCACUGAAAGCCUGAGGCGUGAUGCGGAGUGAGCAGAGAUGCGAGCGAAGUUGUUGACCCCACACUGUCGAGAAAAGCUUCUAGUGAGAGAGCUACCGCCCGUACCGUAAACCGACACAGGUAUGCGGGGAGAGAAUCCUAAGGUGCGCGGGAGAACCCUCGUUAAGGAACUCGGCAAAAUGUACCCGUAACUUCGGGAUAAGGGUAGCCACUGUUGUGAAGUCCCAUGCGGAUGGAGCAUAGAGUGGUCGCAGAGAAGAGGCCCAAGCGACUGUUUACCAUAAACACAGGUGCCUGCUAAAGCGAAAGCUGACGUAUAGGUGCUGACACCUGCCCAGUGCCGGAAGGUUAAGGAAGGAUGUUCGGAGUAAUCCAAAGCAUUCGACUGAAGCCCCGGUGAACGGCGGCCGUAACUAUAACGGUCCUAAGGUAGCGAAAUUCCUUGUCGGGUAAGUUCCGACCCGCACGAAAGGUGUAACGAUUUGGGCACUGUCUCAACGAGGGACCCGGUGAAAUUGAAAUACCUGUGAAGAUGCAGGUUACCCGCGACUGGACAGAAAGACCCCAUGGAGCUUUACUGUAACCUGACAUUGGGUUUUGAUACAUUACGUACAGGAUAGGUGGGAGGCUUGGAAAGCUGGACGCUAGUCUGGCUGGAGCCGACGUUGGGAUACCACCCUUGAUGUAUUGAAAUUCUAACCGCGAGAGUAACGAAAUCCGGGACAGUGUCAGGCGGGCAGUUUGACUGGGGCGGUCGCCUC
RNAcentral lists this ribosomal RNA (2084 nucleotides) under human gut metagenome. RNAcentral describes it as "bacterial LSU rRNA". It matches the Rfam family "Bacterial large subunit ribosomal RNA", at positions 208 to 2289 of the family's 2925-position model. The record is from RNAcentral.